GUAAUUUUACCAGACCAACUUAGACGGCAGUUCUGGGAUGCACCAGUGGAUUCUUGGUCCGGACGUGGAACCUGUUUUUUAAGUUCAAGAUGAGUUUAACCACAACCCAGGUGAGAUCGACAGGCAGCCAACAAAGGAUCGCUCAGCCCAUCCAAUCAAAAGACGUCAAAGCUAGACCAUGAGGAGGUCGAGGGAACUACUCCAAUAAAAGUUCAUGAAGGCCCUUGUCCAGUUUCCAGACUUGAGCCAGUUUUUGGACAGAACCUGUUGACUGAAGGAAAGGCAGAUUCUCCAGGACGAAGGAACUUGCAACACCAUGCAGGUAAAUAUGAUAAUAAUUCCUCGGAUAAUAAUUCCCCAAAGGGCCUCCAAUGGUACUCAGGUAACUGGAUGAAGUUACUCUGGUAACUGCACACCCAAAUAUUUCAAACAGAGUUGGCAGCAGAGUCUCAGAUGACCUGGAUACCGGGGGUCCCUCCCUGUUAGACAGCCUAGGUCCAACAUACAGAGUCCAUUGACUCCACGGACGCAUCCAGAGGUCGUUUCCCUGGAACAGACAUACUUGGUAGUUUG
RNAcentral lists this long non-coding RNA (573 nucleotides) under Equus asinus (donkey). RNAcentral describes it as "lncRNA (ENSEASG00005038224.1)". Lineage: Eukaryota; Metazoa; Chordata; Mammalia; Perissodactyla; Equidae. The record is from RNAcentral.